Non-coding RNA from Canis lupus familiaris (dog), 83 nucleotides. The record is from Rfam. Lineage: Eukaryota; Metazoa; Chordata; Mammalia; Carnivora; Canidae.
GCCUGGGUCGUUCAGUGGUUGAACAUCUGCCUUUGACUCAGGUCAUGAUCCCAGGAUCCUGGGAUCGAAUCCCACAUUAGGCU